Felis catus (domestic cat) is the source of this 85-nucleotide transfer RNA. It matches the Rfam family "tRNA". Rfam says of the family: Transfer RNA (tRNA) molecules are approximately 80 nucleotides in length. Their secondary structure includes four short double-helical elements and three loops (D, anti-codon, and T loops). The record is from Rfam. Lineage: Eukaryota; Metazoa; Chordata; Mammalia; Carnivora; Felidae.
GCCUGGGUGGCUUGGUCGGUUAAGCGUCUGACUUCAGCUCAGGUCAUGAUCCCACAGUCUGUGAGUUCAAGCCCCGCGUCAGGCU